CGCGAAGAACCUUACCUACUCUUGACAUCCAGAGAACUUAGCAGAGAUGCUUUGGUGCCUUCGGGAACUCUGAGACAGGUGCUGCAUGGCUGUCGUCAGCUCGUGUUGUGAAAUGUUGGGUUAAGUCCCGCAACGAGCGCAACCCUUAUCCUUGUUUGCCAGCGAGUAAUGUCGGGAACUCCAGGGAGACUGCCGGUGAUAAACCGGAGGAAGGUGGGGACGACGUCAAGUCAUCAUGGCCCUUACGAGUAGGGCUACACACGUGCUACAAUGGCGCAUACAGAGGGCGGCCAACUUGCGAAAGUGAGCGAAUCCCAAAAAGURMGKSGUAGUCCGGAUUGGAGUCUGCAACUCGACUCCAUGAAGUCG
RNAcentral lists this ribosomal RNA (369 nucleotides) under Vibrio sp. RNAcentral's name for it is "bacterial SSU rRNA". It matches the Rfam family "Bacterial small subunit ribosomal RNA", at positions 960 to 1328 of the family's 1533-position model. Lineage: Bacteria; Pseudomonadati; Pseudomonadota; Gammaproteobacteria; Vibrionales; Vibrionaceae. The record is from RNAcentral.